RNAcentral lists this ribosomal RNA (253 nucleotides) under uncultured bacterium. RNAcentral's name for it is "partial 16S ribosomal RNA". It matches the Rfam family "Bacterial small subunit ribosomal RNA", at positions 524 to 776 of the family's 1533-position model. The record is from RNAcentral.
UACAGAGGGUGCGAGCGUUAAUCGGAAUUACUGGGCGUAAAGCGCACGUAGUCGGCUUUGCAAGUCGGUUGUGAAAUCCCCGGGCUCAACCUGGGAACUGCAUCCGAGACUGCAUUGCUAGAGUAUGGGAGAGGAAAGCGGAAUUUCUGGUGUAGCAGUGAAAUGCGUAGAUAUCGGAAGGAACAUCAGUGGCGAAGGCGACUUCCUGGACCAAUACUGACGCUCAGGUGCGAAAGCGUGGGGAGCAAACAGG